AGAGUUUGAUCCUGGCUCAGGACGAACGCUGGCGGCGUGCCUAACACAUGCAAGUCGAGCGAAGUGACUCGGAGAGAAGUUUUCGGAUGGAUCGAAGAGUCAUCUUAGCGGCGGACGGGUGAGUAACGCGUGAGAAACCUGCCUUUCACAAAGGGAUAGCCUCGGGAAACUGGGAUUAAUACCUUAUGAAACUGAAUUACCGCAUGGUAGAUCAGUCAAAGCGAAUAAGCGGUGAAAGAUGGUCUCGCGUCCUAUUAGCUAGUUGGUGAGGUAACGGCUCACCAAGGCUUCGAUAGGUAGCCGGCCUGAGAGGGUGAACGGCCACACUGGAACUGAGACACGGUCCAGACUCCUACGGGAGGCAGCAGUGGGGAAUAUUGCACAAUGGAGGAAACUCUGAUGCAGCGACGCCGCGUGAAUGAUGAAGGCCUUCGGGUUGUAAAGUUCUGUCCUUGGGGAAGAUAAUGACGGUACCCAAGGAGGAAGCCCCGGCUAACUACGUGCCAGCAGCCGCGGUAAUACGUAGGGGGCGAGCGUUGUCCGGAAUUAUUGGGCGUAAAGGGUUUGCAGGCGGUCUGAUAAGUCAGAUGUGAAAGGCGUAGGCUCAACCUACGUAAGCAUUUGAAACUGUCAGACUUGAGUUAAGGAGAGGAAAGUGGAAUUCCUAGUGUAGCGGUGAAAUGCGUAGAUAUUAGGAGGAAUACCAGUGGCGAAGGCGACUUUCUGGACUUAUACUGACGCUGAGGAACGAAAGCGUGGGGAGCAAACAGGAUUAGAUACCCUGGUAAUCCACGCCGUAAACGAUGAGUGCUAGGUGUUGGGGGUCAAACCUCGGUGCCGCAGCUAACGCAUUAAGCACUCCGCCUGGGGAGUACGUACGCAAGUAUGAAACUCAAAGGAAUUGACGG
RNAcentral lists this ribosomal RNA (908 nucleotides) under uncultured Eubacteriales bacterium. Its description in RNAcentral is "bacterial SSU rRNA". It matches the Rfam family "Bacterial small subunit ribosomal RNA", at positions 8 to 916 of the family's 1533-position model. The record is from RNAcentral. Lineage: Bacteria; Bacillati; Bacillota; Clostridia; Eubacteriales.